Non-coding RNA from Poecilia reticulata (guppy), 3037 nucleotides. The record is from RefSeq and is a predicted model, not a curated record. NCBI's taxonomy places the organism in Eukaryota, Metazoa, Chordata, Actinopteri, Cyprinodontiformes, Poeciliidae.
CUCAGCGUGUCGUUUCUGUCUGCAGACAUGAGGACGUGUCGUGUUAACGAGUUCAGCUGCGGCCCGGGAACCACGCUUUGCAUCCCCAUCUUCUGGAAAUGUGACGGAGAGAAGGACUGCGACAAAGGAGAGGAUGAAGUCAACUGUGGUAACGUCACCUGYGCUCUGAACGAGUUCACCUGCGCCAGCGGCCGCUGCGUCUCCAGGAACUUUGUGUGCAACGGCGAGGACGACUGCGGCGACGGCUCGGACGAGGUGGACUGCGCGCCGUCGUCCUGCGCUCCCAACGAGUUCCAGUGUGGGAACGCGUCCUGCAUCCCGGCCAACUGGGUGUGUGACGACGACGUCGACUGUCAGGACCAGUCAGAUGAAGCUCCGGCUCGGUGCGGCCGCCACCCGACGCCGCCCGCCAAGUGUUUGCCCAGCGAGAUGCAGUGCAGCUCUGGAGAAUGCRUCCACAAGAAGUGGAGAUGUGACGGCGACCCCGACUGCAAGGACGGCAGCGACGAGGCAAACUGUCCUGCRCGGAGUUGUGACCCGGAUAAGUUUAAAUGUGACGAUGGAAGCUGCAUCCAGGGAAGCAGACAGUGUAACGGCUACAGAGACUGUGACGACGGAUCAGAUGAAAUGAACUGCAGGAACCUGACUCAGUGCAACGGGCCAGAGAAGUUCAAGUGUCGCAGCGGAGAAUGUAUCGAAAUGAGCAAAGUGUGCAACAAGAUCAGAGACUGUCCAGACUGGAGCGACGAGCCGAUCAACGAGUGCAACGUGAACGAGUGUCUCCUGAACAACGGCGGCUGCUCCCACAUCUGCAAAGACAUGGUGAUUGGCUUCGAAUGCGACUGCACACCUGGACUGCAGCUCAUCGACCACAAGACCUGCGGAGACAUCAAUGAGUGCAUGAAUCCUGGUAUCUGCAGUCAGAUCUGCAUCAACCUGAAGGGCGGCUACAAGUGUGAAUGUCAUAACGGCUACCAGAUGGAUCCGGCUACCAGCGUCUGCAAGGCUGUUGGUAAGGAGCCGUGCCUGAUCUUCACCAACCGCCGUGAUAUUCGCCGUCUGGGUCUGGAGAGGAAGGAGUACACACAGAUUGUAGAGCAGCAGAGAAACGCAGCGGCUCUGGAUGCAGAUUUCAACCAGCAGACUAUCUUCUGGGCCGACCUGGGACAGAGGGCCAUUUACAGCACCGUCCUGGACAGGCGAGGCGACGUCGGUGUCCAUAAGAAGGUGAUCGAUAACGUCCAGACUCCUCUGGGCAUCGCUGUGGACUGGAUCUAUAACAACCUGUACUGGUCCGAUCUGGGAGCCAAAACCAUUUCUGUGGCGAACUUUAACGGAACCAAACGGAAAGUUCUGUUYAACACGGGCCUGAGRGAACCYGCCUCCAUCGCYGUGGAUCCUUUAUCUGGGUUUCUGUACUGGUCUGACUGGGGAGAGCCRGCUAAGAUCGAGAAGUCUGGAAUGAACGGAGCGGACCGGCAGGUUCUGGUGGCCACUGACAUCCAGUGGCCCAACGGGAUCACACUGGAUCUGAUCAAAGGUCGGCUCUACUGGGUCGACUCCAAGCUGCACAUGCUCAGUAGCGUCGACCUGAACGGAGACAACAGGAACAAAGUGCUGCAGUCUGCAGAUUAUCUGGUUCAUCCAUUYGCCGUCACCGUGUUCGAGGAUCGGGUUUUCUGGACCGACGGUGAAAACAAGGCCAUCUACGGGGCCAACAAGUUCUCUGGUUCUGAUGUCGUCACGCUGGCCAGCAACCUGAACGACCCUCAGGACGUCAUCGUCUACCAUGAGCUGAUCCAGCUGGCCGGAACCAACUGGUGCACAGAGAGAAGUGAGAACGGCGGCUGCAGCUUCUUGUGUCUUCCUGCUCCACAGAUCAACAAACACUCCCCCAAGUACAGCUGUGUGUGUCCUGCAGGCCAGGAGCUGGCAGCAGACGGYCAGCGCUGCAGACCUGAAGCCAAUGUGAGCACGUCUAUCCAGGUGGACUCCACAGCCAGAGGCUCUGCUGCUGCCUGGGCCGUCCUACCCGUCUUGCUGCUGGCCAUGGCCGGAGCCGGCGCCUACCUGAUGUGGAGGAACUGGCAGCUGAAGAACCAGAAGAGCAUGAACUUCGACAACCCAGUCUACCUGAAAACCACAGAAGAAGACCUCAACAUCGACAUCACGCGCCACGGCGCCAACGUGGGCCACACCUACCCAGCGAUUUCAAUCGUGAGCACAGACGAUGAUUUAUCCUGAUCAGGAUUUGGGUUUUUGUUGUCCUCCUCCAUGUUUCCAUGCCAACGGUUCACCGUAACAGUUCAACCACAAGCCUUCAAAAGUGCAUUAAGUCCUGAUCUGUGUUGAAGAGGAAAUGUUAUUUAUCAUGUGAAAACUUCCAGGAGUUUUUCCACCUUCACUCCAAAGUGUUGAGGAUUUUCCUUUUCCUCGUCUCUGUCCGGCUGUCCAGAGAUCAGUUUCCUCUCUGAGGGUCUUUCUGUGUCCAGCCUGGACUGAAGAACUGAGUCUUCAUCAAACYGUUUCCUGGUUCUGAUUUAAACCGGGUCAAAGUUCUCAGGUCUUAACAGGAACCAAGUCUGGAGACUAAAAGACGAAUAUUUAAUUAUGAAAUGGGAUGUUAAUAUUUCUGAUCAUGCUUUGUGGCUAAUAUUAGGGUUUCUUCUGUUUACCGCAUUAUUAUUGCUGCUGCUGAGGUCGCCAUGGUUACAGUGUAAAUAUAUUUCCUCCCUCAGAUGUGACUGUAAAUCAGGACUCUGUUAAAUGCACUUUGAUCAUGUUCUCUGUAAAUAAGAUUGUAUAAAGUGACUUGAAUCCGUUUCUUUUGCUCUGGCCGGUUUCCUCACCAGAGUUCAGAUUUAUUUAAGGACCAGAGGAGGAAAAACAUGAAUUUGGUAAAAAUGACUAUUUUGUAUGUUUGUGCUGUUGCUGUGAACUUUUUUAUAGCCUUGUACAGUGAAGGAGGAUGAAAUGAUCUGUAACUGAAGGAACUGAUUACGAAGACAUUUUGAAAUAAAACAAUCAGUGUUAAAUC